GUGGCUUCCAGGUGAGAGCUCCGGAUCCGUGCGGCCCUGCUCCUGGCAAACCUCGGGGACAAGGGUCCUUCCGAAAUUUAGCAGCUGGAGGCUUGGACUGGGGGUAAUUUUCCUUCUGAGACCCACGAGCUGUCUGUCCAUAACCCUUCUGAUUCCAAAUCUCCCGUUUCCUCCUGGCCCAGCCUGAUGCGUGUCCCCCAAUCCGGACAAACCUGCUUGAGAAAUAGACACCCCCCCCCCCCACCUCCUUAAAAUUAGCCUCGCCGCGGUCUCUCUUCUCUUCCCCCAAGACCGGGUGCAGAGAGACCAGCGGAGUUUCUCAACUUGAGUUUCUCUAAUAAAUCUGCGCUCCGUUGGGUGUUUAUAAAUUAUCUCCUCGCUCUUUCUUGUUUUUUCUUAUAAUAGAAACAUUUUCCUUCCAUCAGGAAUUUCUGGCACGGUGUAGGGAUGAUUUAGAACAAGUCAUUGAAUUUCUACCUCACCGCUCUCUCUCGCGCUCGCUCUCUCUCGCUCGCACCCUCGCUCUGCGUUCUGUCCGGGAGGAGUACGGAGAAGCCAAUAGGAUGCGGGGUCUCUAAUGGAUGCAAAUGAUCAUGAAAAGACAGUGCAAAAUAUGAAACAACUCAUUUGCAGGGAAGUAAAUCACCGAAAACUGUUUAUGAACUGGCAUCCCUUCUUCGAAAUGUAAAGCGAGGACCUCUUUAAGUGGCGCCCCCAACUACAGCCGCCGCCGCCGCCGCCGCCUCAAAAUUCAAUAAAAUGAGCUCUUAUUUCGUCAACUCACUGUUCUCCAAAUACAAAACCGGGGAGUCCCUGCGCCCCAAUUAUUAUGACUGCGGCUUCGCCCAGGACCUGGGCGGCCGACCCACCGUGGUGUACGGUCCCAGCAGCGGGGGCAGCUUCCAGCACCCGUCGCAAAUUCAGGAGUUCUACCACGGGCCGUCGUCGCUGUCCACCGCUCCCUACCAGCAGAACCCGUGCGCCGUGGCGUGCCACGGGGACCCGGGCAACUUCUACGGCUACGACCCGCUGCAGCGACAGAGCCUGUUCGGUGCGCAGGAUCCAGACCUGGUGCAGUACGCCGACUGCAAGCUCGCCGCCGCCAGCGGCCUGGGCGAGGAGGCCGAGGGUUCAGAGCAGAGCCCGUCGCCCACACAGCUCUUCCCCUGGAUGCGCCCGCAAGCAGCCGCCGGACGCAGGCGAGGCCGACAGACCUACAGCCGCUACCAGACCCUGGAGCUGGAGAAGGAGUUCCUAUUUAAUCCCUAUCUGACUCGCAAGCGGCGGAUCGAGGUAUCGCAUGCGCUGGGACUGACAGAGAGACAGGUCAAAAUCUGGUUCCAGAACCGGAGGAUGAAGUGGAAAAAAGAGAACAACAAAGACAAGUUCCCCAGCAGCAAAUGCGAGCAGGAGGAGCUGGAGAAACAGAAGCUGGAGCGGGCCCCGGAGGCGGCGGACGAGGGCGACGCGCAGAAGGGCGACAAGAAGUAGGCUCCAGCUGGGACUGCCAGGGCCGCGGCUGCCCUCCGUCCGCGGGUCCCCCGACCACGCCGCCGUCGCCCGCCCCCGCCCGAGAGAGCUCUGGCCCCGCGAGCGGGGCCGGGAGCCUGGCCUCCCGCCGCAGCGUCCCCCGCCGCGCCAGUCCCCGCUAGUGGUAGUAUCUCGUAAUAGCUUCUGUGUGUGAGCUACCGUGGAUCUCCUUCCCUUCUCUUGGGGGCCGGGGGAGGGAAAAGAAAAGGAUUUUAAGCAAGGACUCCCUCGCCCUGCGAAGGUGAGCGGCUGCGGCCUGGCUGAGCCCCCCACGCCCCCGCCCCGUGUAAAAAGCCUCCUUGUGCAAUGGUCUUUUUUCCUUUGAACGUGCUUCUUUGUAAUGACCGAGGUACCGAUUUCUGCUAAGUUCUCCCAACAACAUGAAACUGCCUAUUCACGCCGUAAUUCUUUCUGUCUCCCUCCCCUUCUCUCUUCUCUCUCUCUCUCUCUCUCUCUCUCUCGUUCUCUCUUUCCUCUCCUCUCUCGCCCUCUUCUUUUCUCUCCACCAGACCCUUAAAAGCCCCUUUGUUUUGUGGCACCACAAACCAGAGGGAUUUCAUCAUUUGACCCCCAGGGGGCCUGUUAUUUUCUAAGGGUAAGUCACCCUCUUCUAAAAACCAGAGGCCUCCUCUCCACCAAACUGACCACCGUCCCCCCCCCCUUUUAAGAUCCAUGGGGUCUGCCACCCUGUCACUCCUGUUUUUGCCGGCCUGCCAGCUUAUCAACUCCUGUGGAUAGUUCCUCAAAUUGGACAUGUGGCGCCUUAAGGGGCUUCUGAUCUUCGGGACAAGGAGAGGGCCACAAGAUUCCCUUCAUUUCCCAUUAAAGGAUGCCUGCCCUCUGCCUCUCUCCUCUCCUCCCUGCAGCCACUCUCUGUUCCCUGAGCUCUCCAGUCCCUGCCCAGGCCUGACUUAGGAGAGCCUUCACAGGUUUGAGAGCAAAGAGGACAGAGAGCUUGGUGUCCUCACCCUGAUUUGAAGAUGAAUCUCCCCAAGAAUGAUGAGGCAUUGGUAUCCCUUGGAAAGGAGACUCUGGUCAGUUCCCAAAGGAUCCUCAGCAUCCUUUAAGAUACCAAUAUAUUUUCGAGGCAUAGCUUCCCCACGCUCCCACUCUGGACAAGGCAAAUGAGUUGAGUAAGGUGCAGAGGAAGAGUGCAGCAGGGGCAGAAUCUGACCUGGGGCCUCCUGGGAAGCCCCAUUGCCAUGUGCCCUGGCCUCCCUCCAACGCCGCCUCCUUCUCUCAGAAACCCCAGACCACCAGGCCUGCCUUGAAGAUUUUUUUUUUUUUUUUGCCCCCUUCCAUGUCAGCUCUGCAAACUCUGAUAAAGAAACGUGUGGGGCUGGUGUCCCAGGGACAUCUGCUGGGCAUAUCUAGACAGAUUUUCCGGAAUGGCAAAAAGAAGCCCAAGGCGGGGGUGCCCACUUCCUCCCUGGAGGCCAAAACCCUUGAAGGGUCUGGUCUCCUCCUCUAAGUGGCUCCUGAAGACCCUCCGGCUGGGUUUUCCCCUUCUCUACUUUAGGUUGUCUGGGCAAUGGUCUCCCUUAAAAACCAACAAGGAUGUGUUGGGGGAGGGGGUGAGAGAUGGGAAGGGGUUUCUGGUGCAAGGAGCUUCUUCUCCUUUGCUAUAGCCCCCCCUUCUCACCGCCCCCCCCCCCGCCCUUCCCUCCAAGAUGUUCUUUGGGAAAGCUGUUCCCCAGUCUGGAGGACUCUUCUCUCCCUUCUCACCCACUUGCUUCCCCUCCCUGGCUGAGCCCAGGCCUCAACCUUGUGAGCUACGGGCUGGUACCCUCUGGCCAGAUCCUUACGCCCAUCCUUGCAACUGCCCAGCACCCUCAACCCCGGGCAGGGCGGAGGAGGCAGCCAGGGAUUGAGGCCGCAGUUGCCCUUUUCCCCCCAAGGCCAGCCUGACCAGCACUCUGCAGACAAUUUGAUUUUGAUUUUUUUUGUUUUGUUUUAUUUGGUUAUUUUGUUUUGUUUUGGUUUGUUUCUCUGCGCCACGGGGCGGGAGGAAGUAUAAAGAAGUGUAAACAGGAAAGCCAGCCGGCCCUGGAGUUCUUAGCGCCCAUAUUUCAUCGGCGGCUUCCUCUCCAUAACUGCAGCACGGACACUUAACCCUUCCCUGGCUGUGAGAAUGUAUUCCCUGGGGGUGGUGGGGACAGGGUGUGGGGGCAAGAUCCAAAUAGAAGCUCCUUUCCCCGGCCCGGUUCCUUUAUCCCUGGGGUCUGAAUGCUGGGGCAGAAGCCAAGGAUUUGGAGCAAGAGAAAAAACAGACCGCUCUCCCAAACUCAACCCCUUCCAGGGCAGUGAGGAGAAGGCUCUCCCUGCAUGGGCUUUUCAGCUUGGGGACCAACUGGAUCGACCAAGGAGGACAGAGCUAGGGAGAACCCCUCCCAUGCUUUAGGGUCACUCUCUCCAUUUUUGGAGUUUCUAGAAGUAAUCAGAUUUCGAGGCUGGGAUCUGCCCACAGCAGGAUUUAUCGAUUGCUGCAGCGCUGUUACACAUCCAUAUUAAUUAACCCAGACACCGGCCUGGAAACUGAGCUGCUUGGGGAGGAGGAGGAGGGGAGAAAUAGGGGCCCCUUAAGGAAAAUGGACAUUUCUCCCUAAGUGCCCCCAGGGCCCAGAUUGGAGAGUCCUUCUCCACCAGAAUCGUGUGGCCUUCCCCAAGCUUGAUGUCCCCGCACUUCUCAGCAGGGGCAAGCGUGCCUUCAUCCCCACAGUCAGAAUCCACACACAAAUAUUCUCAGGGGUGGAAUUAAACACCCCUCAGGCCUGACUCUUCCUUGUCAGAGGUAGGGUGCCCCAGCCCUCCAAGGGAUGGAUCCUUUGGUGGAUAUUCGCAGCACGACCUUUCUAGAGGGCUUCCCGCCUCCUCCCCACCUUCCUUCCAACUUCCUCCAGGUAGAAGCUUUUUUAUGGUUUGGGGGCUUGUUUUGUUUUUAGUGUUUGGUGGUGGUGGUGGUGGUGGUGGUGAUGGCCUUCCCUUUCGUCUUCCCCCUCCCUCCAAAAAGUGAUUAAAAUCUGUUAAAGGAUUUAAUUAAGACAGUUAAAUGAAAAGGAAGGAGGCGCAAAUGAGUUGGGGGAAAAAACCCACACCAAAGCUAUUCUCAACGAUUAAAUCGCCAUUUUAACAAUAUAAUGGAGUUUGCAUCCUGAAAGGGGAAAUCAACGCUCAUAUCUCAUCAAUAAUUCAUAGAGUCCGGGAUCACGCAGAGGUCAGCAGACGGGGCCGAAGCGCCGGCCUGCUUGGGGCUCCGAGCCGCUGGAGCCGCUGCCGCAUACAUUACGCGCCGCGGGCCGCGCUGCCGCCACCUCCGCGGCGGCUUGGGCCGGGGACGCGCCUGCUUACAGGUUUAGGCUGAUUUUCGGAUUUUUCGUUCUUCCUUUUGGUGAAUUUACUGAGACCCAGAUUUCGGGCUCCCAGAAGAUGUGGGGGAUUUAGGAGACGGGAGAGGACUGGACUUGGGAGCGAUUUGGGACCGGUCGCACCUGGCAUGUCACCACCUUUCCAAGUUUUAAUCUCUUCUCCACCUUUUUUUCUCCGUUUCCCUGUUUCAGGCGUCUUCUGUCCUGUCUCUUCUCUCCCCACAUUUCCACUUGAAGAGGAAGAUGCACUCGCUGCAGCUUCUUCUAGCGUCUCUUCCCCGGGGAAGAGGCUCCCAGGCUGCCCGGCCGGGUUCUGGCCUUGCAGUCCGAGUAGUUACGGGCUGAGCCCACAUAGCUGUGGCCCUGGUUUCGGCCUCUGAGCCUUGACGCUGUCUUUGAUUAUAGCGAUCCCUGACCUCGGAGCCCUGUGGGGUAGGGAUGAAUGUGCCCAGGGAGGAAAGGGAUCUCACAGGCCCCAGUCCGGCUUGCCUGGUCAAGAUGACCCCGGGCCAGGUGGGAAGGGAAGGAUUCAGCUCGGAAGGCAGCAUCUGGAGGAAAAGUAGAGGGAAAGUGCCAGCAUGUGAGAACAUCUCCCCUUGGAGCUUGAAGGCGGGAUGCAGGAUAAUCUCUCUAUUUUGGAAAUUCUGCAGGCUUGUUCCAUUCUCUGUGUUUGUGCCUCUCUAAUUUGCUCUCUUCUGUUUUCUGACUCCCAACGGGCCCCUGGGGAAGGAGGAAGGAAACCUGUCCCUGUGAGAGGUGCGGUCCUGAGAGGGGAUAUUUGGGCACAAGGGAAACCGAAAGAGCGCAGGUCGCCUGUAUGGCCGCUGCGCUGGCCGAGAAGCAGAGGCUGUAACGUCCCCGAGCUGCCAGUAGAGUCCGCCUUAGACCAAGUUCACAGCCAGGCUGGGGCCUCUGAGGCGCCAGCGAGCGGCCGUGCAAGGUGGCCCCGGGCCCGCUGGGUCUCGCACGGCCUGGACACUGAGCUCUCUUUCCAGCCCUUUGGGGACUGUGGCUCCCUCCGCUCUCAAAGAACCCUUGCUCCAAGCUCUCUCCACUCUUCACCCCAGAAACUCCCUCCUCCAGGUCAGCCGACGCGUCUUACUGCACCCUGUGUGUCCCCACGCCCAGCACCCGCGGCCCCACUCGGGGACAAGAAUGGAGAGGACGGGUCAUCCAAAGCCUUUCCAGGCACUCCACAGGAGAGACCGGUGGAAAUGCGGGAAGUGGGGUCGAUGCAGGAAGUGGGGUGGCGUUUUUGUUUUGGUUUUGGUUUUUUUUCCGAAGGAGCUAUUUAAUAAUCAAGACUCCUCUUCCCCAGAGCUAAGGCCCUUAGUGGAGGUUGGGGACGGUGGUGAGCGGGGGAGGGGCACAAAAAGCGUUUUUGCGCUUGGAUUUCUGCAGCCGGCGCAGCAGAAUGAGACCCUGGGCCGUGAGGCCAGUGUUAUUGCCAGAGGGGUCGCAAAGUUGGAGGGUCAAAAGUUUACAGCGUGCGUGAGCGGGCGGCGGCGUCUAGCGGCGGGGGCGGGCUGGGCAAGGGGAGGAGGCUGUGUGAGUGGAGAGAGAAGAGAGGGAGCAAGGUGUGCUGGAGGUAUGGGAGACGUGUGCUGGGGGCGUGGGGGAGCAGAAGUGGGGUGGAGAGACUGACACCUGGGAAAGGAGACACUGGCGUAGAGGAGAAACCCUUCUCCAAACCCUGGAGCUGGUGGGGUGGGGAAGCCGCACAAAAGAGCGCUCGGGGCAUGGAAUCCUCUGCGCAAUUUUCUCUCCCAAAGAUAACCUUUGAGUCACCAUAUAAAAUGUAAUUAAAACCUACCCGGCCGCACACAUUAAAAAAAAAAAAAAAUCCAAUUACCCACACGUCCUUGCAGGACAUUUGAUGGGGCCAAAGAAGGCUUCCAAGGUGAAGGCCUGAUUCUCACCAACAUCAGCCCCACCCUGCUUCCCCUAAAGGGGCCAAACAGCUGACUCCCCCAACUCCCCCUUUUGCCCCCAGGCAGGCCUGUUUUUCAGGGUUUCCUAGCCCCCAGGCUGGGUCCAGGCAGCUGGAGUCCAUGACUCCUAUGGGCUAGGACUGGAGGGUUUCUGAACUCCCAUUCCUCUUUCCAAAUUGCUUGGGUUUAAGAAGGUGGAUAUUGAAAGAAGGCUGGCUUGCUAAUCCUCGCACUCUCCCAAACCUCCACUUGUGUGUGCAUCCAGAAUCCCUCUCUUCCUAUGUGGAGGAGGGAGGGGAAAUGAGAAGGAAAAAUACUGAAUGGCCUCACAGAGAUCUUUUUAACUGGAGUUGAAACAAGCGACCUGAAAUGAACCUCCAAUCCAUGCAUUAGGCUGCGCUCAUAAGUAACAUGUUUACAGGGACUCUGUAAUUAUAACACCAGGGCAUAUGCCUAUUUUUGGUCUUUAAAUGACUGUUUGUUGUGUUAUGAAAUGUCUUCAUCUUCUGUGCUAAGCAUUGGGUAUAGGAGGUGCGCUGUGGGUGUUUGUCCUGAGAGUUUUCAUAAAGAUGCCUUUUGAAAUAUGGCCGGAAGAGACAACAACUUAAUGGCAGAUUUUACAUCAAUUUGCCCCAGUUUUUGCCUAACCAGUUGGGUGUGGGUCCCCAUUUCUACUCAGCCUUGGGACACGUUUCUCUGAGGAGUCAGGCCAGGAAGGAAUUCCUGAAGUCCAGAAGGGGUAGAGGUCAAAGCCUGAACAGGAACUCCUGUUCCUCCUCUGUGUCUUCUUCCUCCUUUCCAGGACAGAAUGCUAGCAAAUUUAUGGUUCUGAGGACUAGCCUGGAGCAGCCAAAGGGCCUGGGCUGGAGAGGCCUCGGGAAGGGGAAAAGAGAGUCCUCAGCCAUCCUGGCCAAACCAGGUGUUUGGGGAUGUUCUCUCCCAUCUCCCUGGGCUAGGGGGGUAUAUCUCCCUGCAGACACUCACCCUAGACUUAAACUGGGUGGAAGGGGAGUCACCUGACCUACCUCUGCUGGUCCCUUGGAGGCUGGGGAAAGGGGAAAAUGUGUUGUUGACAAUCCACCAAUUCUAAUCCUUGAGAGACAAAUCAAAGAAAGUCUCUGAGUAUUUUUAAUGCCUCCUUGCUUUAUUCCAGUACCUCCUUGUGGUGGUGAUGGGGGUAGGUAAAAAGAGUUACUGUAUAGAUGAGAAGUGGUUUUAAACAAAAAACGGGGGGGGGGGAGGGGGGGGAGCGGAGUAUUGUUUUGUUUUUAAAGGGAAAUUAAGGCCUCUGAAAGCCAAGUCCCAAGCUUUGACCAGCACAGUCCAGCUCCUCUCUCAGGGUUCUCUGUCUUUCCCAAAUGUGCUGGCCUAUGGACCAAUUCUCACCCCCACGAGGUGGAGGACUCAUUCCUGGGGCCCUGGAGCCUCCAAAGUUUGAGCAGAAAGGGGGAUAUCUCUGGCACUGGGGAAUGGAAUAAAGCAGAUAGAGUAUGCAAGGGGGUGGGCAUACAGGCCCUACCAAUGCAGCCAUUUAAUAGUGAAGGCAGGAGGGAAGGGGGCUCCGGCUCAGGCCUGCUCUCAGGGACCCAGAUCCCGAAGGCCGCUUCUCCAGAUGCCAUCCUCCCUCAUAGGCCCCCAAAGGAGCCCCUGUGGAAUCAUCCUACCCUCUCCCACUUUUCCCUGGGAACCAGAACUGGCAAAAAUACAGGAGUGAUGGAAUAUCAAGGUGAAGGUGGGGCAGGCUGAGCCCUAUCGGAAUGGGACUUUUUUGGGGGUGGGGGUUGGGUGAAGGGAAGAGAAGGUUCUGGCAAAAAAAAAAAAAAAAAAAAAAGUAGAGCUGGGGAGGAUGAGCUGAAUCAAAUUCCUGCUCCGUCAUUUUUCUCCCAAGUAAUGACCUGCGCAAAAUUCAAUAUGACCGAGCGAACUGCGCCAGCGUAUUAUAGUAACUGCCUGCUCGUGGGGGAGGCCCGGAGAGGGGUGAACCGUAGGUCACAGCGUCUAAAAAUUAUUAAAAUGUUCGAGAGCCUCGUGACGCGCCUCGCUGUUUAACAAAGACUGACAAAGUAUGAGAUUAAUACGAAAACUUGCGCCUCAAAAACAAAAACCCAUCAAAAAAAAAAAAAAAAAAAGUCUUGUUCCGGCCUCCAAGGAGGCCCGGAGCUGCUGUGCCCGCAGCCGCGGUUCGGUUUUCCGGACACACAAUAGUGGACAAGAGCGAGCUCCUCUGUGGCCGAGCGGGCCCGAGGGCGGGUCUGCGGCCGGGAGGGCCGCAAAUCUCCGCAGACCGGCUGUUGGGGGAAAAAAGUGUUAGCUGGCUCUCCCGGAUCUGCGAGGGGGAAAAAAUUUGGAACCAUAAAGUUGAAAACUUUUUUCUCUCAGUUUGGAAGAAGCCCUUCGUCAUGAAUGGGAUCCGCAGAAUUCAGGCCAGAGGAGGCGAGAGGCGCAAAGGAGGGGAGAUUUCUCGCCUGCCGCUCGCGCUGGGGCUCGAUGUGAAUAUAUAUUAUGUCUGCCUGUUCUCCCCUCGUCGGUGGCUAAGGUAAGCUGGACUGAAAUAGGCUAUCAGUUUGUGAAUGGCGGAGAGUAUGUCUCAAUGAUUUAUGGCCCAUAUGACUCCAAUCUCGGUUCAAGAAGAGUUCACAAGCUUUAAGCUUCCUUCCACGCAGCGACUCUCCUCUCCUCUCCUCUCUCUCUCUCUCUCCCUCUCUCUCUCCCUCCCCCUCCCUCCCUCCCUCCCUCUCUCUCUCUCUCUCUCCCUCUCUCCCUCUCCCUUCUUGCUUCUCUCCUUUUCUCCUCUUUUUUCUUUCAGCAGCCAGAGCCAGAGCUGAAUUUCCCCCGGCUGCUAAGAAGAGCCUAAGCUUUCUCUCCUUUCCUUUCUUGUUCUUUUAUUUUUCUUCCUUCCACUAAUUUUUUUUUUUUUUUUUAAGUCCUGGAAGGUGGCCUAUCCCCUCUCUCCAGGCUUCCCCAGCUAUUGUUACUGUCCUCGGCUCUUUUCAGGGGUGUGCCUGGACAGGUGGGGUUCUUGGGGUGGCUCACCGCCCUCCUCCAACGAGACCCUGGGGGGAAGCCGGGAGCCACCGUCUCCCUCCCUCCCUCUCUCCCGAGAAGCCAUAUGGAGCCUGGAUUUUUCCAACAUGGAGGCAAGGGAAAUAGACAUGUUUGGCUUGGUAGAGCUGCUCCCCACCCCCUCUUCUCCUGGAUCCCCAGAUCUCAGAUCCCCUCAGCACCUUCACCUCUUCUCACUGUCCCACCAGCCAGGCCUCUGCGCCCUCCGGUCGAUCCGGGCCUGGCAAAGUCCCAGAGCGGAGUUGCUAAGGCGCCUUUUAAUUCGGUUACCUCCAGCGCCCAAACUUGCUGCCCUCCGCCCGGUGUGCUUGGAACCUGCCGCCGCUAGCCGUUGAGGCGUCCUGAACGCUUUCUCUUCGCCUCCUUGGGCCAGCAUAGCUAGUCACCAGCCACCGCGGCAGCAGUGGCCGAGACAGCCCGGAGGCGGCAGCCAGGGGCUAGCUCCGUCCACAAACCUCCCGGCCCUUUCUCGCCGCCAGCGGAGUCUCCAUUCUUUCCUGUUACGUGUCUGGCUUCUCUGCUUCCCACACUCGCCUGGCCUCUGUCCUGCGAUGGUUUGCAGGUUUAUUGCAGGGGGAACGACAGGAAUUUCGGCCCCAGGCGUCUAGUCAGAUUAUUGCUUUAUCAUCAUCAUCACCAUCAUCAUCAUCAUCAUCAUCAUCAUUACUGCUGUAACAAUCAUUUAGACUAAAUAAAGCCAGGGCCCAGCCAGCCAACCCCUUC
This is an RNA transcript of Leopardus geoffroyi (Geoffroy's cat), 10612 nucleotides long. It is a transcript of the gene named homeobox B8, with no coding region annotated. Lineage: Eukaryota; Metazoa; Chordata; Mammalia; Carnivora; Felidae. The transcript is spliced from 7 exons. The record is from RefSeq and is a predicted model, not a curated record.